This 72-nucleotide transfer RNA is filed under the name Phrynosoma platyrhinos (Desert horned lizard). Its description in RNAcentral is "tRNA-OTHER". Lineage: Eukaryota; Metazoa; Chordata; Lepidosauria; Squamata; Phrynosomatidae. The record is from RNAcentral.
GUCAACGUGGUAUAGUGAUUUGUGCAUUGGACUAGGACUCUGGAGACCAGGGUUCGAAUCCCAGCUCUGCCA